RNAcentral lists this long non-coding RNA (375 nucleotides) under Equus caballus (horse). RNAcentral's name for it is "lncRNA (ENSECAG00000046502.1)". Lineage: Eukaryota; Metazoa; Chordata; Mammalia; Perissodactyla; Equidae. The record is from RNAcentral.
GGGGUGGUGGGGGUGGGGGGUGCAAAAGGAAGUGGAGACAGUAUGGCAGGAAAAGGCCAGAAAUCCACACAGCAGGGGUGACCCCCCCCCAUCCUGCCUGUGGCUACGUGUCUACGGGAGGAGGGACCCCAGGGCCAGCGGAGCAGCGUCACGCAAGUGUGGGCUGCUGGCUGGAGCUGCUCUGAGAGUCCUUGGUUACUGGUGGGUGAUAAGGCAGAAGAUACAAAAUAUACAUUUGGGAUGCUAACAGGACAUAGAAAAUCUGCCAAGCGACCGUGGAAAAUGGUCCAGGCCUGUGGGCCCAAGAAGCUGGGAGAAUUGGUGAUGUGCAUGCAUGUGUGGGUGUUAGAAACUGACCAAUUAAUAAAGCCGACA